RNAcentral lists this ribosomal RNA (402 nucleotides) under Streptococcus mitis. RNAcentral's name for it is "bacterial SSU rRNA". It matches the Rfam family "Bacterial small subunit ribosomal RNA", at positions 89 to 481 of the family's 1533-position model. Lineage: Bacteria; Bacillati; Bacillota; Bacilli; Lactobacillales; Streptococcaceae. The record is from RNAcentral.
GGAUGAGUUGCGAACGGGUGAGUAACGCGUAGGUAACCUGCCUGGUAGCGGGGGAUAAUUAUUGGAAACGAUAGCUAAUACCGCUAAUAGUAGAUGUUGCAUGACAUUUGCUUAAAAGGUGCAAUUGCAUCACUACCAGAUGGACCUGCGUUGUAUAGCUAGUUGGUGAGGUAACGGCUCACCAAGGCGACGAUACAUAGCCGACCUGAGAGGGUGAUCGGCCACACUGGGACUGAGACACGGCCCAGACUCCUACGGGAGGCAGCAGUAGGGAAUCUUCGGCAAUGGACGGAAGUCUGACCGAGCAACGCCGCGUGAGUGAAGAAGGUUUUCGGAUCGUAAAGCUCUGUUGUAAGAGAAGAACGAGUGUGAGAGUGGAAAGUUCACACUGUGACGGAUCUA